This 231-nucleotide long non-coding RNA is filed under the name Medicago truncatula (barrel medic). RNAcentral's name for it is "long non-coding RNA (MTRU_LNC002624)". Lineage: Eukaryota; Viridiplantae; Streptophyta; Magnoliopsida; Fabales; Fabaceae. The record is from RNAcentral.
GUCGUGUUGUUUACUUGCACUGCUUGUUUUGGUGUCAAUUAUUGAAUCAGAAAGCAGAGUGGCUAGGAAGGAUUUGGGUUUGGACCUUGGUGGAUUGGGAAUUGGACUUGGUGCAGGAGUUGGUUUAGGAAUUGGAGGUGGCAGUGGCUCUGGAGCCGGAGCUGGUGCAGGCUCUGGUUCUGGUUCUAGCUCUUCCUCAAGUUCAUCGUCCUCUUCGUCUUCUAGUUCUGG